This 696-nucleotide ribosomal RNA is filed under the name Salmonella enterica subsp. enterica serovar Rubislaw. RNAcentral's name for it is "partial 23S ribosomal RNA". It matches the Rfam family "Bacterial large subunit ribosomal RNA", at positions 2238 to 2925 of the family's 2925-position model. Lineage: Bacteria; Pseudomonadati; Pseudomonadota; Gammaproteobacteria; Enterobacterales; Enterobacteriaceae. The record is from RNAcentral. RNAcentral also lists the same sequence under 1 other name.
AUCCGGGUUGCGGACAGUGUCUGGUGGGUAGUUUGACUGGGGCGGUCUCCUCCUAAAGAGUAACGGAGGAGCACGAAGGUUGGCUAAUCCUGGUCGGACAUCAGGAGGUUAGUGCAAUGGCAUAAGCCAGCUUGACUGCGAGCGUGACGGCGCGAGCAGGUGCGAAAGCAGGUCAUAGUGAUCCGGUGGUUCUGAAUGGAAGGGCCAUCGCUCAACGGAUAAAAGGUACUCCGGGGAUAACAGGCUGAUACCGCCCAAGAGUUCAUAUCGACGGCGGUGUUUGGCACCUCGAUGUCGGCUCAUCACAUCCUGGGGCUGAAGUAGGUCCCAAGGGUAUGGCUGUUCGCCAUUUAAAGUGGUACGCGAGCUGGGUUUAGAACGUCGUGAGACAGUUCGGUCCCUAUCUGCCGUGGGCGCUGGAGAACUGAGGGGGGCUGCUCCUAGUACGAGAGGACCGGAGUGGACGCAUCACUGGUGUUCGGGUUGUCAUGCCAAUGGCACUGCCCGGUAGCUAAAUGCGGAAGAGAUAAGUGCUGAAAGCAUCUAAGCACGAAACUUGCCCCGAGAUGAGUUCUCCCUGAGACUUUAGGUCUCCUGAAGGAACGUUGAAGACGACGACGUUGAUAGGCCGGGUGUGUAAGCGCAGCGAUGCGUUGAGCUAACCGGUACUAAUGAACCGUGAGGCUUAACCUUACA